RNAcentral lists this transfer RNA (77 nucleotides) under Candidatus Omnitrophota bacterium. RNAcentral's name for it is "Candidatus Omnitrophica bacterium tRNA-Val". It matches the Rfam family "tRNA". Rfam says of the family: Transfer RNA (tRNA) molecules are approximately 80 nucleotides in length. Their secondary structure includes four short double-helical elements and three loops (D, anti-codon, and T loops). Lineage: Bacteria; Pseudomonadati; Candidatus Omnitrophota. The record is from RNAcentral.
GGGCGGGUAGUUCAGUUGGUUAGAACGGUUGACUUACAUUCAACAGGUCACAGGUUCGAGUCCUGUCCCGCCCACCA